GAUGAACGCUGGCGGCGUGCUUAACACAUGCAAGUCGAACGGGAAGGCCCAAGCUUGCUUGGGUACUCGAGUGGCGAACGGGUGAGUAACACGUGGGUGAUCUGCCCUGCACUUCGGGAUAAGCCUGGGAAACUGGGUCUAAUACCGGAUAGGACCACAUUUUGGAUGGUGUGGUGGAAAGUUUUUCGGUGUGGGAUGAGCUCGCGGCCUAUCAGCUUGUUGGUGGGGUAAUGGCCUACCAAGGCGUCGACGGGUAGCCGGCCUGAGAGGGUGUACGGCCACAUUGGGACUGAGAUACGGCCCAGACUCCUACGGGAGGCAGCAGUGGGGAAUAUUGCACAAUGGGCGCAAGCCUGAUGCAGCGACGCCGCGUGGGGGAUGACGGCCUUCGGGUUGUAAACUCCUUUCGCUAGGGACGAAGCGUUAUGUGACGGUACCUGGAGAAGAAGCACCGGCUAACUACGUG
RNAcentral lists this ribosomal RNA (466 nucleotides) under uncultured bacterium. RNAcentral's name for it is "partial 16S ribosomal RNA". It matches the Rfam family "Bacterial small subunit ribosomal RNA", at positions 28 to 507 of the family's 1533-position model. The record is from RNAcentral.